Molecule: ribosomal RNA, 253 nt
Filed under: uncultured bacterium
Lineage: Bacteria
Description: partial 16S ribosomal RNA
Rfam family: Bacterial small subunit ribosomal RNA
Source: RNAcentral
UACGUACGAGGCGAGCGUUAUCCGGAAUUACUGGGCGUAAAGCGCGCGCAGGCGGAUGCUUAAGUUGGAUGUGAAAUCUCCCGGCCUAACUGGGAGCGGUCAUCCAAUACUGGGCGUCUUGAGGACAGCAGAGGUGGGUGGAAUUCCUGGUGUAGUGGUGAAAUGCGUAGAGAUCAGGAGGAACACCUGUGGCGAAAGCGGCGCACUGGACCACAACUGACGCUGAGGCGCGAAAGCUAGGGGAGCAAACAGG